Non-coding RNA from Trichechus manatus latirostris (Florida manatee), 665 nucleotides. Lineage: Eukaryota; Metazoa; Chordata; Mammalia; Sirenia; Trichechidae. The record is from the annotation of a RefSeq genome assembly.
AGCAUCACACAGCCUAGUACAUGUCCGUACUCUCUUAAGCACAGGAUGUAGCAUUAAGGUCUGGAUUUGAGAAAGAACACAGGGCAUUUCAGGUAGAGGAAGAGCUACUAGCAUGCUGCUCCGCAGCCUGCUGAGGGCAGUUAUAGCCUCCAUCUGCCUUGGAUCCACCAUGGUCCAGGAGGUAACUCAAGAUCAGCCAGCAACAUCUGUGGUGGAGAAGGAGGCUGUGACCUUGGACUGUGUGUAUAAAACCCAAGAUACUAGUUAUGCUUUAUUCUGGUACAAACAACCACCAAGUGGGGAAAUGGUUUUCCUUAUUCAUCAGGAGUCUUACAAGGAGCAGAAUACAAGACAGGGUCGGUAUUCUCUGAACUUCCAGAAAGAAGCCAAAUCCAUCAGCCUUACCAUCACAGCUUCGCAGCCUGGGGACUCAGCAGUGUAUUUCUGUGCUCUGAGAGAUACCACAGUGAGAUAGGUGCCUGCAGGAGCCCCACAGAAACCUCAACAUGAGGCAGGGCUCCUGGGGUGAGACUGUCAUAGACAGGAAGAGGCAGGGGCUGCGUGAGCACAGGUGGGGGAGCCUCAGUUCAAUCAUAUUACGUGUUUAAACAUAUCACUCCUUAAAAGCAUACUAUCUUCUAUUCAUUAGAAUAGUUUGAAACAGC